RNAcentral lists this long non-coding RNA (200 nucleotides) under Glycine max (soybean). RNAcentral describes it as "long non-coding RNA (GMAX_LNC000182)". The record is from RNAcentral. Lineage: Eukaryota; Viridiplantae; Streptophyta; Magnoliopsida; Fabales; Fabaceae.
AUCAGUAUGCUGCUAGAGGAUCUUCUGGAAAGCUAUCCAUCUUGUCUAUGUACAAUAUUGAUUUCUAACGAAGAAAAGUUAUCCCUCGUGACUGUAUACAUUUUGGAUGUACAGUUACCUCCUGAAAUCAUUGCACAGUACAAAUUGAUGUAGAUAUCACUUUGAUGAACGUAAGCAGAUGCACUGAAAAUUCUACUGGG